GUAAAGAUGACAGAACCUGGGGAUUGCAUAAAACUUAAAACUUUAUAAUCAGAAGUUCAACUCCUCUUCUUAACA
RNAcentral lists this transfer RNA (75 nucleotides) under Macaca mulatta (Rhesus monkey). It matches the Rfam family "tRNA". From Rfam's summary of the family: Transfer RNA (tRNA) molecules are approximately 80 nucleotides in length. Their secondary structure includes four short double-helical elements and three loops (D, anti-codon, and T loops). The record is from Rfam by way of RNAcentral. Lineage: Eukaryota; Metazoa; Chordata; Mammalia; Primates; Cercopithecidae.